UGAGUAACCUGCCCUUAACUCUGGGAUAAGCCUGGGAAACUGGGUCUAAUACCGGAUAUGACUCCUCAUCGCAUGGUGGGGGGUGGAAAGCUUUAUUGUGGUUUUGGAUGGACUCGCGGCCUAUCAGCUUGUUGGUGUGGGUAAUGGCCCACCAAGGCGACGACGGGUAGCCGGCCUGAGAGGGUGACCGGCCACACUGGGACUGAGACACGGCCCAGACUCCUACGGGAGGCAG
This 235-nucleotide ribosomal RNA is filed under the name uncultured bacterium. RNAcentral describes it as "partial 16S ribosomal RNA". It matches the Rfam family "Bacterial small subunit ribosomal RNA", at positions 118 to 351 of the family's 1533-position model. The record is from RNAcentral.